Acromyrmex echinatior (Panamanian leafcutter ant) is the source of this 661-nucleotide long non-coding RNA. The record is from RefSeq and is a predicted model, not a curated record. Lineage: Eukaryota; Metazoa; Arthropoda; Insecta; Hymenoptera; Formicidae.
AGCACAAACGUCGAUAUGUCAACUGUAAGUUGACUUUGCUAAGUCAGGCUUUUAGAGUCGACUGUAAGUCGAUUUUGUACAGACGUUCUUUCAAUGUCGACUUUAGGACGUCUAAUGCGAUUUACGCUCACAAAGCUUAAAUGUGGAAUCAUUUCGUCCUUGUUGUUUAAAUAUAGUUAAACAAGGGUGAAUGCUGUUCAAGGCAUGAAUCGGACCACAGUCUAGAAUGGUUAACUUAAAGUCAGCUUACAGUCGUCUUUAAACAUUAAACAUGGGACAUUGUAUAACUCAGAGACGUUCCAAGUCGUCUUAAGUCGACUUACGGACAUCCAUUUUCUAGACGUCCAGCAGGUAUAGUCGACUCAGAGUCGACUUUGUAUUGUUAGGACAACUGAGAUUUAUUAGACUGCGUUUCUAUUUCAGUAUCCAGUAGCCAUUUUGCUGGAUACUGUACUGAAGAAGCAUUCCCAAAUGAUACUGGCUAGUGAUGUACACUGCAGCCUCCUACGCGUUUGGUUCAUAACCUAAAAUUAUUCUAAUAAACGAGCGGAGCUGUAAGGGCGCUAGAGGGCGUGUUCCUUGGGUAGCGGAUGAGGGAAGCUCGGCGGACUCUUGAGUCCGCAGGGUUGGAAGGAAAUAAGAUAUUCUCCGUGAACCAACA